ACUAAAAUGGCAGACGGAUGUGUAAGAUUUAAGCUCUUAUUAGGAAGAUUAAUCUUCUUUUAGUA
RNAcentral lists this transfer RNA (65 nucleotides) under Neaxius acanthus. RNAcentral's name for it is "tRNA-Leu". RNAcentral also lists the same sequence under 1 other name. The record is from RNAcentral. Lineage: Eukaryota; Metazoa; Arthropoda; Malacostraca; Decapoda; Strahlaxiidae.